This 285-nucleotide ribosomal RNA is filed under the name uncultured bacterium. RNAcentral describes it as "partial 16S ribosomal RNA". It matches the Rfam family "Bacterial small subunit ribosomal RNA", at positions 28 to 312 of the family's 1533-position model. The record is from RNAcentral.
GAUGAACGCUAGCGGCAGGCCUAAUACAUGCAAGUCGAACGGUAAGUGUUAUAGCAAUAUGACACCAAGAGUGACGCACGGGUGCGUAACACGUAUGCAACCUACCCUUUACAGGCGGAUAGCUCGGGGAAACUCGAAUUAAUCCGCCAUAAUAUAAUUGAAUGGCAUCAUUUGAUUAUUAAAUCUGCGGAGGUAAAGGAUGGGCAUGCGUCUGAUUAGAGUUGGUAGUGUAACGGACUACCAAGACGAUGAUCAGUAGGGGAACUGAGAGGUUGAUCCCCCACA